This 73-nucleotide transfer RNA is filed under the name Allobosea sp. RAC05. Its description in RNAcentral is "Bosea sp. RAC05 tRNA". It matches the Rfam family "tRNA". From Rfam's summary of the family: Transfer RNA (tRNA) molecules are approximately 80 nucleotides in length. Their secondary structure includes four short double-helical elements and three loops (D, anti-codon, and T loops). Further hydrogen bonds mediate the characteristic L-shaped molecular structure. tRNAs have two regions of fundamental functional importance: the anti-codon, which is responsible for specific mRNA codon recognition, and the 3' end, to which the tRNAs corresponding amino acid is attached (by aminoacyl-tRNA synthetases). tRNAs cope with the degeneracy of the genetic code in two manners: having more than one tRNA (with a specific anti-codon) for a particular amino acid; and 'wobble' base-pairing, i.e. permitting non-standard base-pairing at the 3rd anti-codon position. The record is from Rfam by way of RNAcentral. Lineage: Bacteria; Pseudomonadati; Pseudomonadota; Alphaproteobacteria; Hyphomicrobiales; Alloboseaceae.
AGCCUAUUAGCUCAGUGGAUAGAGCGCCGGUUUCCGAAACCGGAGGCCGGGGGUUCGAGUCCCUCAUAGGCUG